RNAcentral lists this ribosomal RNA (501 nucleotides) under uncultured bacterium. RNAcentral describes it as "partial 16S ribosomal RNA". It matches the Rfam family "Bacterial small subunit ribosomal RNA", at positions 30 to 523 of the family's 1533-position model. The record is from RNAcentral.
AUUGAACGCUGGCGGCAGGCUUAACACAUGCAAGUCGAGCGGGGUGAUGGUGCUUGCACUAUCACUUAGCGGCGGACGGGUGAGUAAUGCUUAGGAAUCUGCCUAUUAGUGGGGGACAACAUCUCGAAAGGGAUGCUAAUACCGCAUACGUCCUACGGGAGAAAGCAGGGGAUCACUUGUGACCUUGCGCUAAUAGAUGAGCCUAAGUCGGAUUAGCUAGUUGGUGGGGUAAAGGCCUACCAAGGCGACGAUCUGUAGCGGGUCUGAGAGGAUGAUCCGCCACACUGGGACUGAGACACGGCCCAGACUCCUACGGGAGGCAGCAGUGGGGAAUAUUGGACAAUGGGGGGAACCCUGAUCCAGCCAUGCCGCGUGUGAAGAAGGCCUUAUGGUUGUAAAGCACUUUAAGCGAGGAGGAGGCUCUUUUGGUUAAUACCCAAGAUGAGUGGACGUUACUCGCAGAAUAAGCACCGGCUAACUCUGUGCCAGCAGCCGCAGUAA